Molecule: ribosomal RNA, 201 nt
Filed under: uncultured bacterium
Lineage: Bacteria
Description: partial 16S ribosomal RNA
Rfam family: Bacterial small subunit ribosomal RNA
Source: RNAcentral
GUAGUCUGNAACCCGACUACAUGAAGCUGGAAUCGCUAGUAAUCGCGGAUCAGAAUGCCGCGGUGAAUACGUUCCCGGGUCUUGUACACACCGCCCGUCACACCAUGGGAGUCGGAAAUGCCCGAAGUCAGUGACCCAACCGUAAGGAGGGAGCUGCCGAAGGUGGAGCCGGUAACUGGGGUGAAGUCGUAACAAGGUAAC